UGGCUGGUGUUCUAACGUGGGCCCGUGAACCGGGUUGCGGACAGUGUCUGGUGGGUAGUUUGACUGGGGCGGUCUCCUCCUAAAGAGUAACGGAGGAGCACGAAGGUUGGCUAAUCCUGGUCGGACAUCAGGAGGUUAGUGCAAUGGCAUAAGCCAGCUUGACUGCGAGCGUGACGGCGCGAGCAGGUGCGAAAGCAGGUCAUAGUGAUCCGGUGGUUCUGAAUGGAAGGGCCAUCGCUCAACGGAUAAAAGGUACUCCGGGGAUAACAGGCUGAUACCGCCCAAGAGUUCAUAUCGACGGCGGUGUUUGGCACCUCGAUGUCGGCUCAUCACAUCCUGGGGCUGAAGUAGGUCCCAAGGGUAUGGCUGUUCGCCAUUUAAAGUGGUACGCGAGCUGGGUUUAGAACGUCGUGAGACAGUUCGGUCCCUAUCUGCCGUGGGCGCUGGAAGAUUGAGGGGGGCUGCUCCUAGUACGAGAGGACCGGAGUGGACGCAUCACUGGUGUUCGGGUUGUCAUGCCAAUGGCACUGCCCGGUAGCUACAUGCGGAAGAGAUAAGUGCUGAAAG
Molecule: ribosomal RNA, 567 nt
Filed under: Salmonella enterica
Lineage: Bacteria; Pseudomonadati; Pseudomonadota; Gammaproteobacteria; Enterobacterales; Enterobacteriaceae
Description: partial 23S ribosomal RNA
Rfam family: Bacterial large subunit ribosomal RNA
Source: RNAcentral